GAUGAACGCUGGCGGCGUGCCUAAUACAUGCAAGUCGAGCGAACAGACGAGGAGCUUGCUCCUCUGACGUUAGCGGCGGACGGGUGGGUAACACGUGGAUAACCUACCUCUAAGACUGGGAUAACUUCGGGAAACCGGAGCUAAUACCGGAUAAUAUAUUGAACCGCAUGGUUCAAUAGUGAAAGACGGUUUUGCUGUCACUUAUAGCUGGAUCCGCGCCGCAUUAGCUAGUUGGUAAGGUAACGGCUUACCAAGGCAACGAUGCGUAGCCGACCUGAGAGGGUGAUCGGCCACACUGGAACUGAGACACGGUCCAGACUCCUACGGGAGGCAGCAGUAGGGAAUCUUCCGCAAUGGGCGAAAGCUUGACGGAGCAACGCCGCGUGAGUGAUGAAGGUCUUCGGAUCGUAAAACUCUGUUAUUAAGGAAGAACAAAUGUGUAAGUAACUAUGCACGUCUUGACGGUACCUAAUCAGAAAGCCACGGCUAACUACGUG
RNAcentral lists this ribosomal RNA (497 nucleotides) under uncultured bacterium. RNAcentral describes it as "partial 16S ribosomal RNA". It matches the Rfam family "Bacterial small subunit ribosomal RNA", at positions 28 to 507 of the family's 1533-position model. The record is from RNAcentral.